Molecule: ribosomal RNA, 465 nt
Filed under: uncultured bacterium
Lineage: Bacteria
Description: partial 16S ribosomal RNA
Rfam family: Bacterial small subunit ribosomal RNA
Source: RNAcentral
CCUACGGGAGGCAUCAGUAGGGAAUCUUCCACAAUGGGCGAAAGCCUGAUGGAGCAACGCCGCGUGGGUGAAGAAGGUCUUCGGAUCGUAAAACCCUGUUGUUAGAGAAGAAAGUGCGUGAGAGUAACUGUUCACGUUUCGACGGUAUCUAACCAGAAAGCCACGGCUAACUACGUGCCAGCAGCCGCGGUAAUACGUAGGGGGCAAGCGUUAUCCGGAUUUAUUGGGCGUAAAGGGAACGCAGGCGGUCUUUUAAGUCUGAUGUGAAAGCCUUCGGCUUAACCGGAGUAGUGCAUUGGAAACUGGGAGACUUGAGUGCAGAAGAGGAGAGUGGAACUCGAUGUGUAGCGGUGAAAGGCGUAGAUAUAUGGAAGAACACCAGGGGCGAAAGCGGCUCUCUGGUCUGUAACUGACGCUGAGGUUCGAAAGCGUGGGUAGCAAACAGGAUUAGAUACCCUAGUAGUC